CUGCCAGUAGUCAUAUGCUUGUCUCAAAGAUUAGCCAUGCAUGUCUCAGUACAAGCCAAAUUAAGGUGAAACCGCGAAAGGCUCAUUAAAUCAGUUAUGGUUCCUUAGAUCGUACCCACAAUUACUUGGAUAACUGUGGUAAUUCUAGAGCUAAUACAUGCAAACAGAGCUCCGACCGGAGACGGAAGGAGUGCUUUUAUUGAUCAAAACCAAUCGGUGGCGAGUUCGCUCGUCAUCGUACAACUUGGUGACUCUGAAUAACUUUACGCUGAUCGCACGGUCUCGCACCGGCGACGCAUCUUUCAAAUGUCUGCCUUAUCAACUGUCGAUGGUAGGUUCUGCGCCUACCAUGGUUGUAACGGGUAACGGGGAAUCAGGGUUCGAUUCCGGAGAGGGAGCCUGAGAAACGGCUACCACAUCCAAGGAAGGCAGCAGGCGCGCAAAUUACCCACUCCCGGCACGGGGAGGUAGUGACGAAAAAUAACGAUACGGGACUCAUCCGAGGCCCCGUAAUCGGAAUGAGUACACUCUAAACCCUUUAACGAGGAUCAAUUGGAGGGCAAGUCUGGUGCCAGCAGCCGCGGUAAUUCCAGCUCCAAUAGCGUAUAUUAAAGU
RNAcentral lists this ribosomal RNA (615 nucleotides) under Gymnopholus nitidus. Its description in RNAcentral is "SSU rRNA". It matches the Rfam family "Eukaryotic small subunit ribosomal RNA", at positions 14 to 610 of the family's 1831-position model. Lineage: Eukaryota; Metazoa; Arthropoda; Insecta; Coleoptera; Curculionidae. The record is from RNAcentral.